UUUCCGUAGGUGAACCUGCGGAAGGAUCAUUAUCGUACAAAAAGUGAGGGACAUGCUAGGGCUGUCGCUGACCAACAAGUCGUGCACGCACGAGUGUGUCCUCUUGCAUAAUACUCCAUCUCACCCUUUGUGCAUCACAGCGUGGGCACCCUCCGGGGUCAUCCCGGAGGGGGCCUGGCGUUUUCACACAAACCCACCUUUUAAAAGUGUAGAGUGACCACAUUGAUGCAAUAAAUAAAACUUUCAACAACGGAUCUCUUGGCUCUG
RNAcentral lists this unclassified non-coding RNA (267 nucleotides) under plant metagenome. RNAcentral's name for it is "partial contains small subunit ribosomal RNA, internal transcribed spacer 1, and 5.8S ribosomal RNA". The record is from RNAcentral.